GGAGAGCUUAAUUCUCUGACAGCUGGAUAUCAGGUAGAGAUGAAGAUAUUCACGAUUAUCAUCACACUGAGGACAGCUGAAUUCAUCUGUUCACCAUUUAUAGAUCUUCAACUUCACAGCAUCAGCAAAGAAGGGAUGAAGGUGUGUUUCCUGGUUUAUCGUCACACUGAGGACAGCUGAACUCAUCUGAACCUCGCAGCCUCAUCACA
Long non-coding RNA from Lingula anatina, 209 nucleotides. NCBI's taxonomy places the organism in Eukaryota, Metazoa, Brachiopoda, Lingulata, Lingulida, Lingulidae. The record is from RefSeq and is a predicted model, not a curated record.